GGGAGCGUAGCUCAAUGGUAGAGCAGUUGCCUUUUAAGCAAUUGGUUCUGGGUUCGAGUCCCGGCGCUCUCA
RNAcentral lists this transfer RNA (72 nucleotides) under bacterium. RNAcentral describes it as "tRNA-Lys". It matches the Rfam family "tRNA". Rfam says of the family: Transfer RNA (tRNA) molecules are approximately 80 nucleotides in length. Their secondary structure includes four short double-helical elements and three loops (D, anti-codon, and T loops). The record is from RNAcentral.